This 253-nucleotide ribosomal RNA is filed under the name uncultured bacterium. RNAcentral's name for it is "partial 16S ribosomal RNA". It matches the Rfam family "Bacterial small subunit ribosomal RNA", at positions 524 to 776 of the family's 1533-position model. The record is from RNAcentral.
UACGGGGGGGGCAAGCGUUGUUCGGAAUUACUGGGCGUAAAGGGCUCGUAGGCAGCCAACUAAGUCGGAUGUGAAAUCCCCAGGCUUAACUUGGGAACUGCAUCCGAUACUGGAUGGCUUGAAUCCGGGAGAGGGAUGCGGAAUUCCAGGUGUAGCGGUGAAAUGCGUAGAUACCUGGAGGAACACCGGUGGCGAAGGCGGCAUCCUGGACCGGCAUUGACGCUGAUGAGCGAAAGCCAGGGGAGCAAACGGG